CCAGUUUGUUUCGUAAAACGGUUGAAACGCACACUUAAGGAGCUCCGAUCGCCCUGCUGCCACAUACAAGAUGGCGGUGACGUAACGUAGGACUCAGAGCUCCAUGAGGCGUCUACGUAUUGAUGUCUAUGGUAGCAUCUAUCUGAAAGGACAAGCAAUGGAGGGUGUGACCUCGUUGAGACAAAACAGAAAUGUGACUGGUCACCUGAUCCUCUGCCCACGCACACGAGCUUCCUCCUCCACCUCCACCCCCCGCUUUCCCUCUCCAAAAUCAGAGAAGCUCAUUUCAUCUCAGCAGUGAAUGGAUGUGUGCUGCCGUAAUAACAAGGGCACCUGGUUGCGGGACGGGACUGACGGUGUUUGACCCGGGUACAUCAGAGACACUCAAGACUCUGGUUUCAGUCAGUGAUGUCAUGUGGGUGUAGCCGUCUCCUUGCCAAAACGACGGAGGCUGGUCCGACGUGUGCCAGACAGGAAGCAGGACAGAUUUGACAACAGAUGCAGUACACAGCCCUCAUCAGGUUGCAGACUCUGGAAUAAUGAUUUCAUAUUAAUUGUAUUUUGUGCUAUUUUAUGUCGAGGUAAUUUGUGUUGCAGUUCGAGUGUAGUGUUUUCAUAAUAACACGAUCAGAUUAAAAUACUUACUUUGUACAGGAAAUAUAGACCAGUGCCAUCAGUUAAAAGAAUUGGAUUGCCGUAUCAAUAAUGUUACAUUUCAGAAGCUACUACUUAAAUGUACUAUACUAAUGCAUUUAAAUAGUCA
Poecilia latipinna (sailfin molly) is the source of this 763-nucleotide long non-coding RNA. RefSeq lists it as uncharacterized. The transcript has 3 exons. NCBI's taxonomy places the organism in Eukaryota, Metazoa, Chordata, Actinopteri, Cyprinodontiformes, Poeciliidae. The record is from RefSeq and is a predicted model, not a curated record.